GCCGGGCGAGGUUUUCUCACCAUGUGAUGCGUGUGACAGGCUGACAGGUUCGGUAGACCUGGACCCAGCCCUCCCUGUACGCAUCAGUGGCCCGAGGCACGUUCACACUCUGGUGCGGCCAUCAGCACCGUCAUCUCCGGAACUCUCACCUGGCUAAACUGAGACUCCGCAUCUGUGAAACCAGCGCACCAGGGACCGGCUUCGUGGAAGACACUUUUUCCACGGACCGGGGAAGGGUGGGGAGCGCUUUCGGGAUGGAACUGCGAUCCCUCGCACGCGCAGAUCACGACAGGGCUCACGCUCCUACGAGAACCUAAUGCCGCUGCUGCUCGGAUGGGAAGUGGGGUUCAGGGGGUGACGCUUGCUCACCCACCACUCACCUCCGGCUGUGCAUCCUGGUUCCCAACAGGCCACGGACUGGUGCCGGUCCAUGCCCGGGGGGGCUGGGGACCCCUGUAUUGAACAACAGCUCCCCGUUUCUCCAGCCCCCAGCUCCUGGCCACCACCCUCCUACUUUCUGACUUGAUGAAUCUAACUGCUCUAAGCACCUCAUCCGAGUGGAAUCAUGUGGUAUUUGCCUUUCUGUGACCAGCUUCUUUCACGUAGCCUAAUGCCCCCAAGGUUCAUCGAUGUCAGAAUUGGCCUGUGUCGGAAUAUAAGCCGAAUAAUAUCCGUUUUAUGUAAA
RNAcentral lists this long non-coding RNA (685 nucleotides) under Homo sapiens (human). Its description in RNAcentral is "HSALNT0387973". Lineage: Eukaryota; Metazoa; Chordata; Mammalia; Primates; Hominidae. The record is from RNAcentral.